RNAcentral lists this ribosomal RNA (497 nucleotides) under uncultured bacterium. RNAcentral describes it as "partial 16S ribosomal RNA". It matches the Rfam family "Bacterial small subunit ribosomal RNA", at positions 28 to 507 of the family's 1533-position model. The record is from RNAcentral.
GAUGAACGCUGGCGGCGUGCCUAAUACAUGCAAGUCGAGCGAACGGACGAGAAGCUUGCUUCUCUGAUGUUAGCGGCGGACGGGUGAGUAACACGUGGAUAACCUACCUAUAAGACUGGGAUAACUUCGGGAAACCGGAGCUAAUACCGGAUAAUAUUUUGAACCGCAUGGUUCAAAAGUGAAAGACGGUCUUGCUGUCACUUAUAGAUGGAUCCGCGCUGCAUUAGCUAGUUGGUAAGGUAACGGCUUACCAAGGCAACGAUGCAUAGCCGACCUGAGAGGAUGAUCGGCCACACUGGAACUGAGGCACGGUCCAGACUCCUACGGGAGGCAGCAGUAGGGAAUCUUCCGCAAUGGGCGAAAGCCUGACGGAGCAACGCCGCGUGAGUGAUGAAGGUCUUCGGAUCGUAAAACUCUGUUAUUAGGGAAGAACAUAUGUGUAAGUAACUGUGCACAUCUUGACGGUACCUAAUCAGAAAGCCACGGCUAACUACGUG